AUCAAUGAGAAUACUACUGCA
RNAcentral lists this microRNA (21 nucleotides) under Populus trichocarpa (black cottonwood). RNAcentral's name for it is "ptc-miR6479". The record is from miRBase by way of RNAcentral. Lineage: Eukaryota; Viridiplantae; Streptophyta; Magnoliopsida; Malpighiales; Salicaceae.